UAGCACUAUAUAUAUAUAAAAUUUAGAAUUUAAUAAGAAUAUUUAAAAUAGUAUUUAGGAUUUACUUAUAAUAAUAUUUACAAUUCAAUGAUAAUAUAUCAACUCAUCAAUAGUACUGUAGAAUACCUUAUAAGGACCUGUCAGCUAUAAUAGCACUAUAACAAAAAAUAAUAAUAAUACUUUCGUACUAUGAAUGUGACUUUUAGAAUAUAUCUGAUACACAUGCGAAUAUAUCAGUUGGUAUGUAUUUCAUAUAAAUGUUAGUGCAUUAACAAUAUUUUAAAAAAUAUUUAUAAAUAUAUCUCUAAAC
This 310-nucleotide long non-coding RNA is filed under the name Ananas comosus (pineapple). RNAcentral describes it as "long non-coding RNA (ACOM_LNC020386)". The record is from RNAcentral. Lineage: Eukaryota; Viridiplantae; Streptophyta; Magnoliopsida; Poales; Bromeliaceae.